Long non-coding RNA from Bos taurus (domestic cattle), 519 nucleotides. Lineage: Eukaryota; Metazoa; Chordata; Mammalia; Artiodactyla; Bovidae. The record is from Ensembl.
UCCAGAAAGAUGACCCUCUCUCUCUCACCAGCCCUGGGGACAUGAAGGCACGGACACCUUGCCUGGAAUCACGUGACACAGAACAGGCGGGAUUAGGAUUCAAAUUCAGGGCUCCCUGACUCUGAAGACGGUUCCUUCUGCUAGCGCGGUGAGGCUGUGGUGUCAACUCCAUCAUACAGACCAGGAAAUGGGGUCCCAGGAGAGUCAAAGUCACCCAGCAGGAAACUUUCGAUUUCUUAUCUCAUUGAAAUCGUAUAAAGUAUGCAACUGAGUUACAGACUGAGCUGCAGGAAAUUGAAAGGAAAGUGAAGUCGCUCAGUCAUGUCCGACUCUUUGUGACCCCAUGGAGUGUAGCCUACCAAGCUCCUCUGUCCAUGGGAUUUUCCAGGCAAUAGUAACUGGAGUGGAUUGCCAUUUCCUUCUCCAGGCUGGCAUGGAUCUUAUGAAGACAUUGUGUGCUAAACAUGGAUUUCUAUUCCUGGCACAUAGACCUCCAAUAAAAGGUGGCCUCUUUUAAUG